RNAcentral lists this transfer RNA (77 nucleotides) under Culex quinquefasciatus (southern house mosquito). Its description in RNAcentral is "tRNA-Thr". It matches the Rfam family "tRNA". Rfam says of the family: Transfer RNA (tRNA) molecules are approximately 80 nucleotides in length. Their secondary structure includes four short double-helical elements and three loops (D, anti-codon, and T loops). Lineage: Eukaryota; Metazoa; Arthropoda; Insecta; Diptera; Culicidae. The record is from RNAcentral.
GUGGCAGUGCACUGCCGAAUGGUUACGCUGUCCGCUUUGUAAGUGGAUGAUCAUGGGUUCGAUUCCCAUCUGCUCCA